UCAUCUCAACGGGAUGCGGCUUUUCUUUUUGCCGAUCGGGGCCGUUGGGGAGGUUUAUAUAAACCCUCCCCUGGCCCUCUGUCCCCUUCUUAUUGCCUUCUUCUUCCAGCUUUUCUUCCUCCAGCCUUUCACAGUCCGAAGUUCUUUUCUCCGGCGUCUUCCUCAGGUCCCCCUUUUUCUUUUUAAUCUCUCUCUCUCGCAAUGGGUUCUCUUCCCAGUGAAGUCGUGUCUACCAUGAGCGUCCUGGAGGUCGAAAUGACCGAAGAGUGGUUUUUCCCUCUUCACGG
Molecule: long non-coding RNA, 287 nt
Filed under: Phoenix dactylifera (date palm)
Lineage: Eukaryota; Viridiplantae; Streptophyta; Magnoliopsida; Arecales; Arecaceae
Description: long non-coding RNA (PDAC_LNC017334)
Source: RNAcentral